Molecule: ribosomal RNA, 116 nt
Filed under: Microcaldota archaeon
Lineage: Archaea; Nanobdellati; Microcaldota
Source: RNAcentral
GUCAGCGGCCAUAGGAACUGGGAAACGCCCGAUCCCAUCCCGAACUCGGAAGCUAAGCCAGUUCACGAUGCCAUUUGUACUCUCCUGUCGGAGGGGAAGAUGCAUUGCUGCUGACA